GCCGUCUUAGCUCAGCUGGCAGAGCGCCUGACUUGUAAUCAGGGGGUCUUCGGUUCGAUUCCGGAAGACGGCU
RNAcentral lists this transfer RNA (73 nucleotides) under Spirochaetaceae bacterium. Its description in RNAcentral is "tRNA-Thr". It matches the Rfam family "tRNA". Rfam says of the family: Transfer RNA (tRNA) molecules are approximately 80 nucleotides in length. Their secondary structure includes four short double-helical elements and three loops (D, anti-codon, and T loops). The record is from RNAcentral. Lineage: Bacteria; Pseudomonadati; Spirochaetota; Spirochaetia; Spirochaetales; Spirochaetaceae.